CGUGUACUGAACUAUUUUCAUAAGAAGCUGGUUCUCGCACCUGGCAUUUUUCUUGCAAGGAAAAUUUGGAGAGACAGUGGGUAGCAAAAAGCAGCGAUGGAGGUCUUAGGAGAUAAAGGAGAAGAAGAGGUAUGGAUGAAGGGAGUGGAAGAAAUGAGAAAAAGGAUGAAUAGUGGAAACGGUGGUCCAAAAGAGAAUGUAUAUGGGGAAUGUAUGAGGCAUGAGUAAAUGGAGGUGGUCAGUCUCUCUCUCUUUCUCUCUCGUGUCUUGAUUUAGAAACUUGCUUCAAAGCUGUGAUAAAAUGUAAUUACAGUAAGUGGAAAUACAGAAAUAAUCGUGAGCGAUUGUUUCAACGUAAAAUGCAACGUCGAACGUGGGACGAGUGUUUGUCUAGGAAUUUUAACUUGAUUUGAAGUUUGAUUAAAUUUUGACGCGACACGAGGAUUUCCACAAAUAAAGAACUUCCAGCUAAACACAUUUGUACGAAUAAUAGUCAAUGAGAAAAAUGUUCAAGUUUCUAAUAACCUUAGGCGUGGGAGUCUAUGCUGGUAUAUACAUAAGUCAAAAUUAUGAGGUACCUCGUGUAGAUGAUCCUUCUAAAAUAAUCGAACGGAUAAAGCAAUUUGCGGAUGAAUAUAAAAAAAAGUAAUAACUAGCAGUAAU
Long non-coding RNA from Hylaeus volcanicus, 663 nucleotides. RefSeq lists it as uncharacterized. Lineage: Eukaryota; Metazoa; Arthropoda; Insecta; Hymenoptera; Colletidae. The record is from RefSeq and is a predicted model, not a curated record. The transcript is spliced from 7 exons.